This 548-nucleotide ribosomal RNA is filed under the name uncultured bacterium. RNAcentral describes it as "bacterial SSU rRNA". It matches the Rfam family "Bacterial small subunit ribosomal RNA", at positions 355 to 896 of the family's 1533-position model. The record is from RNAcentral.
UGGGGAAUAUUGCGCAAUGGGGGGAACCCUGACGCAGCCAUGCCGCGUGAAUGAAGAAGGCCUUCGGGUUGUAAAGUUCUUUCGGUAUUGAGGAAGGUUGAUGUGUUAAUAGCACAUCAAAUUGACGUUAAAUACAGAAGAAGCACCGGCUAACUCCGUGCCAGCAGCCGCGGUAAUACGGAGGGUGCGAGCGUUAAUCGGAAUAACUGGGCGUAAAGGGCACGCAGGCGGUUAUUUAAGUGAGGUGUGAAAGCCCUGGGCUUAACCUAGGAAUUGCAUUUCAGACUGGGUAACUAGAGUACUUUAGGGAGGGGUAGAAUUCCACGUGUAGCGGUGAAAUGCGUAGAGAUGUGGGGGAAUACCGAAGGCGAAGGCAGCCCCUUGGGAAUGUACUGACGCUCAUGUGCGAAAGCGUGGGGAGCAAACAGGAUUAGAUACCCUGGUAGUCCACGCUGUAAACGCUGUCGAUUUGGGGGGUUGGGGUUUAACUCUGGCGCCCGUAGCUAACGUGAUAAAUCGACCGCCUGGGGAGUACGGCCGCAAGGUUA